Long non-coding RNA from Anopheles arabiensis, 581 nucleotides. RefSeq lists it as uncharacterized. The transcript has 2 exons. The record is from RefSeq and is a predicted model, not a curated record. NCBI's taxonomy places the organism in Eukaryota, Metazoa, Arthropoda, Insecta, Diptera, Culicidae.
GUGGGAGAUGCGAACCAAGAAAGCUCGAGAACCGAAAGUCUAAGUCAGUACUGUUUGUUCCAAACCACGAUUGGAUGCAUCUCGCAGCUCCCGUGGUAAAAUUUAUUUUUUAUUUUGCUGAAACAUACAGAAAAUUAUACAGUGCAUAGAGCUAGCUCCAGAAGCAAGUAAAUCUUUGCGAACUUUUACCAACAGUUCGUAAAGGCCAUACACAUUGCCGUUCGCAUCGCUUGCAGGCAUAGUGUUUUCCAGUUUAUGGUAAAAGCAUUCUCGGUGUAACGCGUGUGCUUGGAAAACUAAGCCCCGGUCGAGGUUGUGUGAUCUUGCGAUCGAACACGAAUUGGCUGGUGGAAAAGAAGUAAUAGAAAUUAGGAGAGAAAAAGAACGUGCAGGCUACGUGGCGUAGUGGUGUGUUCAUUUCUAAGGUUACGUGUGUUAGUACAUUUCUUUCUUGUAUAUCAGCAUCAUCCAACGUUAGUGUGUACCUCACAUACUAAUACAACGGUGAACGCAACAAAGAAGUAGAAAAUAAAACAACUUAGUGCUUGUCGUACCGGAAGCAACUGAACGAACCACAGUAA